CAGGCUCGCUCUUCCCGUUCUCUGGAAAGUGAGGGAGCCAGACAGCCACAUGGAGAGGUCACACACAGGUGAUCUGACCAACCGUUCCAGCAGAGGAGGUCCUGGCUGACAGCUGCCACCCACCACCAGAGAGGCUUCAAGCUCUUCCCCACUCAGAGCCUUAGUGUUCGAUCCUCUGCUCUGGAAAUGGCUUCAAAGAACACCCGACCUAAGCAGAAGCCUCCAUGCCUUCAUGGCCCAUUAAUGCUGCUGUGGUGUGGCUGGACAUCAGCCAGGCUGUAGGACACCAAACAUCUGGAUACUGAGAAGGCUUCAAGGGCUGCUGCCGAAGGACAGUGUCAGGGCUGGGGGAAAGGGACAUGACAGCAGACUUUCAUCACCAGUGACCCAAGACUUGGUCUGGCAUGCACACCAAACCAUUCCUGAUGUGAAGUAGUGAGGUCAGCUUGGGUGUACAUUCUGAGCUGUAGGCCAUGCCUGGAGGGGAGCAAGAUGUCUCCCUGGGAAGAGACCGUGGAACAGAUCUGUGGAAGAAGCAAUGGCCAAAUGGUUAUGGAUGAACAGAUGAGGCUGUGAUGGGGGAGGGGAAGACAGUCCUCAGCCGGGUGCUACUGGGAUGGGCA
Long non-coding RNA from Lontra canadensis (Northern American river otter), 623 nucleotides. RefSeq lists it as uncharacterized. Lineage: Eukaryota; Metazoa; Chordata; Mammalia; Carnivora; Mustelidae. The record is from RefSeq and is a predicted model, not a curated record. The transcript is spliced from 4 exons.